This 242-nucleotide ribosomal RNA is filed under the name uncultured bacterium. RNAcentral's name for it is "partial 16S ribosomal RNA". It matches the Rfam family "Bacterial small subunit ribosomal RNA", at positions 113 to 353 of the family's 1533-position model. The record is from RNAcentral.
ACGCGUGGGUAACCUGCCUCACACUGGGGGAUAACAGUUAGAAAUAGCUGCUAAUACCGCAUAAGCGCACAGUGCUGCAUGGCACAGUGUGAAAAACUCCGGUGGUAUGAGAUGGACCCGCGUCUGAUUAGCUGGUUGGUGAGGUAACGGCUCACCAAGGCGACGAUCAGUAGCCGGCUUGAGAGAGUGAACGGCCACAUUGGGACUGAGACACGGCCCAAACUCCUACGGGAGGCAGCAUG